AGUGAACGCUGGCGGUAGGCCUAACACAUGCAAGUCGAACGGGAGCACAGUAAGAGCUUGCUCUUACGGGUGGCGAGUGGCGGACGGGUGAGGAAUACAUCGGAAUCUACUUUUUCGUGGGGGAUAACGUAGGGAAACUUACGCUAAUACCGCAUACGCCCUACGGGUGAAAGCAGGGGAUCUUCGGACCUUGCGCGAUUGAAUGAGCCGAUGUCGGAUUAGCUAGUUGGCGGGGUAAAGGCCCACCCAGGCGACGAUCCGUAGCUGGUCUGAGAGGAUGAUCAGCCACACUGGAACUGAGACACGGUCAAGACUCCUACGGGAGGCAGCAGUGGGGAAUAUUGGACAAUGGGGGCAAGCCUGAUCCAGCCAUACCGCGUGGGUGAAGAAGGCCUUCGGGUUGUAAAGCCCUUUUGUUGGGAAAGAAAAGCAGCAGGUUAAUACCCCGCUGUUCUGACGGUACCCAAAGAAUAAGCACCGGCUAACUUCGUG
This 492-nucleotide ribosomal RNA is filed under the name uncultured bacterium. RNAcentral describes it as "partial 16S ribosomal RNA". It matches the Rfam family "Bacterial small subunit ribosomal RNA", at positions 29 to 507 of the family's 1533-position model. The record is from RNAcentral.